UGAGGAAUAUUGGUCAAUGGGCGGAAGCCUGAACCAGCCAAGUCGCGUGAAGGAUGAAGGUAUUAUGUAUUGUAAACUUCUUUAGCAGUGGAGAAAUAAGGGAGUCGAGACUCCCGAUGCUAGUACACUGAGAAUAAGGAUCGGCUAACUCCGUGCCAGCAGCCGCGGUAAUACGGAGGAUCCGAGCGUUAUCCGGAUUUAUUGGGUUUAAAGGGUGCGCAGGCGGCCUUGCAAGUCAGCGGUCAAAUCGUGGAGCUCAACUCCAUUCCGCCGUUGAUACUGCCGGGCUUGAUUGCGGUUGAGGUUUGCGGAAUUCGUCGUGUAGCGGUGAAAUGCAUAGAUAUGACGAAGAACCCCGAUUGCGUAGGCAGCAGACCAAGCCGUAAAUGACGCUCAUGCACGAAAGUGCGGGGAUCGAACAGG
This 423-nucleotide ribosomal RNA is filed under the name uncultured Bacteroidales bacterium. Its description in RNAcentral is "bacterial SSU rRNA". It matches the Rfam family "Bacterial small subunit ribosomal RNA", at positions 355 to 776 of the family's 1533-position model. Lineage: Bacteria; Pseudomonadati; Bacteroidota; Bacteroidia; Bacteroidales. The record is from RNAcentral.